RNAcentral lists this ribosomal RNA (855 nucleotides) under uncultured Acinetobacter sp. Its description in RNAcentral is "bacterial SSU rRNA". It matches the Rfam family "Bacterial small subunit ribosomal RNA", at positions 56 to 907 of the family's 1533-position model. Lineage: Bacteria; Pseudomonadati; Pseudomonadota; Gammaproteobacteria; Moraxellales; Moraxellaceae. The record is from RNAcentral.
UGCAGUCGAGCGGAGAGAGGUAGCUUGCUACUGAUCUUAGCGGCGGACGGGUGAGUAAUGCUUAGGAAUCUGCCUAUUAGUGGGGGACAACAUUUCGAAAGGAAUGCUAAUACCGCAUACGUCCUACGGGAGAAAGCAGGGGAUCUUCGGACCUUGCGCUAAUAGAUGAGCCUAAGUCGGAUUAGCUAGUUGGUGGGGUAAAGGCCUACCAAGGCGACGAUCUGUAGCGGGUCUGAGAGGAUGAUCCGCCACACUGGGACUGAGACACGGCCCAGACUCCUACGGGAGGCAGCAGUGGGGAAUAUUGGACAAUGGGCGCAAGCCUGAUCCAGCCAUGCCGCGUGUGUGAAGAAGGCCUUAUGGUUGUAAAGCACUUUAAGCGAGGAGGAGGCUACUUUAGUUAAUACCUAGAGAUAGUGGACGUUACUCGCAGAAUAAGCACCGGCUAACUCUGUGCCAGCAGCCGCGGUAAUACAGAGGGUGCAAGCGUUAAUCGGAUUUACUGGGCGUAAAGCGCGCGUAGGCGGCUAAUUAAGUCAAAUGUGAAAUCCCCGAGCUUAACUUGGGAAUUGCAUUCGAUACUGGUUAGCUAGAGUGUGGGAGAGGAUGGUAGAAUUCCAGGUGUAGCGGUGAAAUGCGUAGAGAUCUGGAGGAAUACCGAUGGCGAAGGCAGCCAUCUGGCCUAACACUGACGCUGAGGUGCGAAAGCAUGGGGAGCAAACAGGAUUAGAUACCCUGGUAGUCCAUGCCGUAAACGAUGUCUACUAGCCGUUGGGGCCUUUGAGCUUUAGUGGCGCAGCUAACGCGAUAAGUAGACCGCCUGGGGAGUACGGUCGCAAGACUAAAACUCAAAUG